Molecule: ribosomal RNA, 393 nt
Filed under: uncultured bacterium
Lineage: Bacteria
Description: partial 16S ribosomal RNA
Rfam family: Bacterial small subunit ribosomal RNA
Source: RNAcentral
AUACGGAGGAUGCAAGCGUUAUCCGGAUUUAUUGGGUUUAAAGGGUGCGUAGGCGGUUUGCUAAGCGGGAGGUGAAAUGCCGGCGCUCAACGUCGGAAGUGCCUCCCGAACUGGUGGACUGGAAUGACUCUGCCGUGGGAGGAAUGUGUAGUGUAGCGGUGAAAUGCUUAGAGAUUACACAGAACACCGAUUGCGAAGGCAUCUCACGAAGGGUUGAUUGACGCUGAGGCACGAAAGCGUGGGGAUCAAACAGGAUUAGAUACCCUGGUAGUCCACGCAGUAAACGAUGAUGGCUAACCGCUGGUUUAUUCGGAUCAGUGGCCAAGCGAAAGCGAUAAGCCAUCCACCUGGGGAGUACGACCGCAAGGUUGAAACUCAAAGGAAUCGGCGGGG